AUUUAAGAGACGGUAAUCACCGCAUGCCAUAUCUUCCUAGUCUCAGGCAAGAAAACGUCAAAGUCACAAGUAGAUAUGAAGUUUGCAAUCUCCUUGGCGUUGGCGCUCAUCCUAGGAAUGACACUGGACCAGGCUGACGCAGACAUCACAUUUGCCAAGCGAAACGUGCCUGAACGUCGCCAGGAGGAGACACUGAGCCGCCACGAGCGAGACAACAAGGAGACUCUGAGCCGUCGUAAGCGAUUUCAAAGCGGGUUUGAAGUUGGUUUGGAUGGGGGUUUUUAGGCAGCCGAUCUUGAAGUUGAGCGCACGGGUGGUGAUGCGAUGCCGUCAGAGCCAAAUCACCAUACAGCCCAAGUAACUCCCUGCGAUGACAUGACGCUAUGGUGACUCCCGCGUGACGUCACAUUACUACUCUCGUGGUUUCGUAUUUACUUUCAUGGAGAGGAUUGAUUUCAGAAAUAAAGUGAAAUUAAACAAA
This is a long non-coding RNA of Lineus longissimus, 481 nucleotides long. RefSeq lists it as uncharacterized. The record is from RefSeq and is a predicted model, not a curated record. NCBI's taxonomy places the organism in Eukaryota, Metazoa, Nemertea, Pilidiophora, Heteronemertea, Lineidae. The transcript is spliced from 5 exons.